UCUAUGUAAUACUACAGGAUAACUGUAGUAUUCUAGAGCUAAUACAUGCCACUAUGCCCUGACCCGCAAGGGAACGGGUGGAUUUAUUAGAACAGAACCAACCGGUUGUGGUUUCGGCCGCAGCUGUUGCAUUCUGUGAUGACUCUGGAUAACUUCACUGAUCGCAGUCGGCCUUGUGUCGGCGACGGAUCUUUCAAAUGUCUGCCUUAUCAAUUUACGAUGGUAGGUGAUCUGCCUACCAUGGUGAUAACGGGUAACGGGGAAUCAGGGUUCGAUUCCGGAGAGGGAGCCUGAGAAACGGCUACCACUUCCAAGGAAGGCAGCAGGCGCGCAAAUUACCCAAUCCCGGCACGGGGAGGUAGUGACGAAAAAUACGGAUACGGGACUCGUAUGAGGCUCCGUAAUUCGAAUGAGUACAAUUUAAAUCCUUUAACGAGGAUCAACUGGAGGGCAAGUCUGGUGCCAGCAGCCGCGGUAACUCCAGCUCCAGAAGCGUAUAUUAAAGUUGUUGCAGUUAAAAAGCUCGUAGUUGGAUCUGGGUCGUAUGGCUAUGUACUGUUGCUUGUUACAUUGGCUUGGUUUCGAUCAGGUCCAGUGUUGCGAGUCAGUGUCGUGGCUGUACAGCCUUUUUGCCGUGUCUGUUUCGGACAGGUACCGGCUUAAUCGGUGAGCUUGUCUUGCUGGUUGGCUGGUAUGCUCCCAGAUGCCUUUGAACGGGUGUCGGGGGCGGACGGUGCUUUUACUUUGAACAAAUUUGAGUGCUCAAAGCAGGCUUUUGCCUGAAAAUUCUUGCAUGGAAUAAUGGAAUAGGACUUCGGUUCUAUUUUGUUGGUUUUCGGAUCCGAAGUAAUGGUUAAGAGGGACAGACGGGGGCAUUUGUAUGGCGGUGUUAGAGGUGAAAUUCUUGGAUCGCCGCCAGACAAACUACAGCGAAAGCAUUUGCCAAGGAUGUUUUCAUUGAUCUGGAGCGAAAGUCAGAGGUUCGAAGACGAUCAGAUACCGUCCUAGUUCUGACCAUAAACGAUGCCAACUGACGAUCCGUGGCGGCUCAAUUAAUGGCUCCACGGGCAGUCCCCGGGAAACCUUUAAGUCUUGGGCUCCGGGGAA
Molecule: ribosomal RNA, 1107 nt
Filed under: Plagiorchioidea sp. Type IX RS-2020
Lineage: Eukaryota; Metazoa; Platyhelminthes; Trematoda; Plagiorchiida
Description: SSU rRNA
Rfam family: Eukaryotic small subunit ribosomal RNA
Source: RNAcentral